RNAcentral lists this long non-coding RNA (384 nucleotides) under Panax ginseng (ginseng). RNAcentral describes it as "long non-coding RNA (PGIN_LNC007605)". Lineage: Eukaryota; Viridiplantae; Streptophyta; Magnoliopsida; Apiales; Araliaceae. The record is from RNAcentral.
ACAAAUCAGAAGCAUCAAGAAGUCAGAAAUCAAAAAUCAAGCUUGAAAAGGUAGGAAACCCUAAAUUCUAGAAAUCCUUCGAUUCGAUGUUAAUUGAUGCAAUUGAUUGUUUAAAGUUGUGUAAUAGGGAGUCUAUUAAUGUUCUGGGUUGAUAAAUCAUGAACCCAUAACAUCAAAGUGCACGAAUUUGAAGAUUUGAGCAAGUUGGAAAAAAACCGGAUUCUGUGAUUUUUUAUCAAAUGUCAGGGCUUAUAACUCUUUGGUCGAUCAUGAGUUUUGUUGUUUAAAAGUUGUUAUAUGUAGCCUGAUAUGUGGUCUUUAAUAUUCAGAAAGAAUCAAGUUCAUAUCUAUUGUAGAUCGGGAGUUAUAAGCGGUCAAAGUGGG